Molecule: ribosomal RNA, 603 nt
Filed under: Microtrichalus sp. BM0147
Lineage: Eukaryota; Metazoa; Arthropoda; Insecta; Coleoptera; Lycidae
Description: partial 16S ribosomal RNA
Rfam family: Bacterial large subunit ribosomal RNA
Source: RNAcentral
CAUGUCCUUUUGAAUAUUAAUUUAAGGUCUGAUCUGCUCAGUGAAUUUUAAAUAGCCGCAGUAUUUUAACUGUGCAAAGGUAGCAUAAUAAUUAGUUUCUUAAUUAGGAACUGGUAUGAAUGAUUGGACAAGAAAAUUUCUGUCUCUUUUUUAAUAUUUUUGAAUUUUAUUUUUAAGUGAAAAAGCUUAAAUAGUUAUGAAAGACGAGAAGACCCUAUAGAGUUUAAUAGAAUAAUUCAAUUUAACAUUAGAAUUAAUUUUUGAUUAUAUUUUAUUUAGUUGGGGUGAUUUAAAGAUAAAAUAAAUUCUUUAAAAUAAAAAUUGGUGAUAUCUAAAUUUUAAAUCUAUAUUUAAUAAAUAUAAAAUAAAUUACCUUAGGGAUAACAGCGUAAUUUUUCUUAAAAGUUCUUAUUGAAAGAAAAGUUUGCGACCUCGAUGUUGGAUUAAAAUUAAUUUUUGGUGCAAUAACUUAAAAAUUAGGUCUGUUCGACCUUUAAAAUUUUACAUGAUCUGAGUUUAAACCGGUGUGAGCCAGGUUGGAUUCUAUCUUUAGAUUGUUAAUAUAUUUUAGUACGAAAGGACCAAAUAUAUAUUAAAUUAAUU